RNAcentral lists this ribosomal RNA (442 nucleotides) under uncultured bacterium. Its description in RNAcentral is "partial 16S ribosomal RNA". It matches the Rfam family "Bacterial small subunit ribosomal RNA", at positions 338 to 795 of the family's 1533-position model. The record is from RNAcentral.
CCUACGGGAGGCAGCAGUGGGGAAUAUUGGGCAAUGGGCGCAAGCCUGACCCAGCAACGCCGCGGGAAGGAAGAAGGCUUUCGGGGUGUAAACUUCUUUUAAGAGGGAAGAGCAGAAGACGGUACCUCUUGAAUAAGCCACGGCUAACAACGUGCCAGCAGCCGCGGUAAUACGUAGGUGGCAAGCGUUGGCCGGAUUUACUGGGUGUAAAGGGCGUGCAGCCGGGAAGACAAGUCAGAUGUGAAAUCCCGCGGCUCAACCGCGGAACUGCAUUUGAAACGGUUUUUCUUGAGUACCGGAGAGGUCAUCGGAAUUCCUUGUGUAGCGGUGAAAUGCGUAGAUAUAAGGAAGAACACCAGUGGCGAAGGCGGAUGACUGGACGGCAACUGACGGUGAGGCGCGAAAGCGUGGGGAGCAAACAGGAUUAGAUACCCGUGUAGUC